RNAcentral lists this long non-coding RNA (835 nucleotides) under Cyanistes caeruleus (blue tit). Its description in RNAcentral is "lncRNA (ENSCCEG00000000780.1)". Lineage: Eukaryota; Metazoa; Chordata; Aves; Passeriformes; Paridae. The record is from RNAcentral.
GUUUGAACUGUAUGACUUUGACUGAUUAUUCAGACUGAUUCUUUCCUUACCAAUGCUUAUAUAAAGUUAUAAUAUAUUCUUUGGUUUCCUUGUUUUUCCUUGAAUUUUACUCUGACAUGAAGAAGAACAGAACCUCAGUGAGAAGCUGAUAUCAUUCUGGCAUGACACCAUGUAACUCAGUUGAUUGUAGGAGUGCAACACCUGAUAAAUAUGGCUUUCAAUCUUCACAUAGAAAAAAAAAAAAAGAAAAAAAAAAGAUUCUGUUAAGCCCCCAAAUCUUUCAACUGAUAAGUACAGGUGGCCAACCACAAAUUUAGGAAUCCAACACACAAGCCCAUUUUAAACUGCCUACGGGUACACCAGACAGAAAACAAGCUUUAACAGCAGUCAUACACCAGAGGUCACCUAAAUUCAUUGUGAGGAGUGGGAUGGAGAGGAGCAUACAGAAGUGAUACAGGGUUCUCUUGAGCAGACAGGAAAUUUUUUUGUGCUUCUUGUGACCCCAACAAGUUUACUGCAAGCAACAGGGCACAGGCUUACAACCUUUGCUUCUCAGUGUUAGCAGCAAUCUAAGGAACACAGGGGGAAAGGCAUAUGAGUUCAAACACAAGUUAUAUUGAAGUCAGUGGCAAAAUUCUCAAAGAGAACAACUGAGUGGAAAUGGAGAAUGGACAAAAGGCACAUGGAGAGAGCAGACAAAGCAAGGGAAAAAUAUGCGUUGUUAAGAAAGACUUGCGAGAACAAAAAGCAAAAACGUAAGGUUUUCUAUAUAUAUAAUGUAGAAGAAUAGAGGCAAAAAAAUAAACUUUCAUUAACAUCCUUUUGGAUAGUUGAU